Molecule: long non-coding RNA, 271 nt
Filed under: Elaeis guineensis (African oil palm)
Lineage: Eukaryota; Viridiplantae; Streptophyta; Magnoliopsida; Arecales; Arecaceae
Description: long non-coding RNA (EGUI_LNC061127)
Source: RNAcentral
UCAAAUUUGAUUCACCAAUCGAAUCCAAUUCUGUAUGUGUUGGUCCUUUCACCUCAUGAACUUCAUCAAGUUUAAUUUUACAGAUAUUAGCUCCUUCACCAAGAAAUUUUUUUUUCAAAAAGACGUCUGGCUGCUGACAAACACCUUUUGUUCUGCAGCGAGGUAGAAGUAGUACCCUUUAGUUUUUUUGGGUAACCAACGAACAAGCAUCUAUCGAACUUCGAUCCAAGCUUAUCUGUCUUUAAACGCUUGACAUAAGCUGGACACCCCC